AGUGGGGAAUCUUGCGCAAUGGCCGAAAGGCUGACGCAGCGACGCCGCGUGGGGGAUGAAGGUUUUCGGAUCGUAAACCCCUGUUGCCCGGGACGAACGACCCUUUUCGAGGGGUGUGACGGUACCGGGUGAGGAAGCACCGGCUAACUCCGUGCCAGCAGCCGCGGUAAUACGGAGGGUGCGAGCGUUGUCCGGAAUCACUGGGCGUAAAGGGCGCGUAGGCGGCUUGGGAAGUCCGUGGUGAAAGCUCGUCGCUCAACGACGAGUCGGCCAAGGAUACUCCUGAGCUCGAGUCGACUAGAGGCAGAUGGAAUUCCGGGUGUAGCGGUGGAAUGCGUAGAGAUCCGGAAGAACACCGGUGGCGAAGGCGGUCUGCUGGGGUCGAACUGACGCUGAGGCGCGACAGCGUGGGGAGCAAA
This 419-nucleotide ribosomal RNA is filed under the name uncultured Gemmatimonas sp. RNAcentral describes it as "bacterial SSU rRNA". It matches the Rfam family "Bacterial small subunit ribosomal RNA", at positions 353 to 772 of the family's 1533-position model. The record is from RNAcentral. Lineage: Bacteria; Pseudomonadati; Gemmatimonadota; Gemmatimonadia; Gemmatimonadales; Gemmatimonadaceae.